Oryza nivara is the source of this 201-nucleotide non-coding RNA. The record is from Rfam. Lineage: Eukaryota; Viridiplantae; Streptophyta; Magnoliopsida; Poales; Poaceae.
UAUAAGGGAUUUUGAGUUUUGGUUUGCACUGUUUGACCACUCGUCUUAUUCAGAAAGUUUUGGAAUUAUUAUUUAUUUUUUUACUUACUUUAUUAUCCAAAGUACUUUAAGCAUAAUUUUUCGUUUUUUAUAUUUGCACAAUUUUUUUGAAUAAGACGAGUGGUCAAACAAUGCAAAUAGAAACUCAAAAUCCCAUAUAUU